Chelonia mydas (Green sea turtle) is the source of this 1431-nucleotide long non-coding RNA. RefSeq lists it as uncharacterized. Lineage: Eukaryota; Metazoa; Chordata; Testudines; Cheloniidae. The record is from RefSeq and is a predicted model, not a curated record. The transcript has 5 exons.
CACACUGCCUGGGCCUCUGGGGCUGGGGAUGCUGCGCCGCCAGAGCACUUGCAAGAGGGGAAUCCCCUGCAGAAUUUCAUUCUGGUGCAGGAGGGAAAGAACAGAGUCAUGGAGUUGAAGGCCAGAAGGGACUACUAGGUCAUCUGGGCUGACAUCCAAUGCAUCACAGGCGACCAACGCUGUCACACCCCAAUGGCUCCCCAUCCCUCAGGGAGUCUUCAGGGAAGGCAGAUCUGCAUUGUAUGUGGCUAACACUGUUGCAAGCAUUGCAAAGCAUUUUGGGGAGGGUCAACGAUGUGUGAGUGGAGAGUGGAAGUUUCCUUUGCAGAAUACGAGAGGCCGGGGGGAAGAAAGAAGAAGAGCAGAGAACGGGUUAACUCAACACUUCAGCUAGCUCCAUGUGAAGAUAAGACGCUGGCCCCGGCCCAAGGUCACAGGCUUGACGAGAAAUCAGCAGCUGCCCAGCCGUGAGAAGAAGAGAACUAAGUUGAGCAGAGCUGCAGAGAUAGCAGCGAGAACAGUGAGAGCAAAUGAGACGGUGACAGCAAAGGCCAAUAGAAGGGAAAACACAGUCUCCGGAGCCGGGAUGUUUUGGGAAACCGAGGAGGCCACAGCAAGCCGGUUUGGACUGGCACAAAGAGCACCUGAAGCAGAGGUCCCUGAGUGGACUACCUCCCCGCCUGUCCCCUCCCCGUCCUCCCAAGGAGUCCAGGACUUAAAACCCUCCUGAGAACUGGAGCAACUCGGAGAGCACAGCAGAUCCUUGGACGGCCUGGGCCCAGGACAGCACUCCCGUCCACCUCCCACCCCCCUUCUUCUGACAUUACACCCAGACUUGGUCAGUCUGGGUCGUGCCUGUAAUCCAGCUGUGAUGUGGCAGACCAGGUGACAGCUCAUGCCAAGACCCCUCAGUCUCAACUGAAUACUGAUCAUACAUAGCUGGAAGCCGUCUGGCUCACCUGUGGAUAGUAUAGGAUCAGCUACAAGCGUUGUUUUGGGGAGAGAUCUAAGACACAACUGACACUGGAACUUGUGGAAAUCACACUGCUUCCUUUCACGGAAGCCCAGGAAAGCAAGGAGCAUCAAUCAAGUUUCAGAAAGCUGCCCGGCGAACAGGAGAUGAUGGCUUCUUUAAGGCCCAGUGGUAUGUGCUUGCUUUGCUGGUGCCUAGAGCUGGUCCUGAGCGGCGAGCGCAGUGCAGCCGGAGGGCUGCGUCAUGAAGAGGACGCUGUGGUCCUGGGACGUCCAGCAGAGGGCGUCACAGUGGUGAGUCACACCCAUCACAUGGACACAAAACUAAAGCACGUCGAUUGUUUGUGAGUUGUCUCCCCCCCCACUCCUUUUCUGGGCUUCUGUCACUUUGAUGUGUUUACGUGAAUACAGCUGAAAGGGUUUUGAUACUGGAAACCCAUAGUCUCCAAUUUCAGGCCA